AGAGUGUCCUGAGUGUGUACUGUGCGGGCGUGGUGCUGCGUGCAGACAUUCUCAUCUAUUCAUUCAGCCAGAGUGUCCUGAGUGUGUACUGUGCGGGCGUGGUCCUGGACGCUGGGUGCAGACGUCCUCGGGGGA
Molecule: microRNA precursor, 135 nt
Organism: Equus caballus (horse)
Lineage: Eukaryota; Metazoa; Chordata; Mammalia; Perissodactyla; Equidae
Source: Ensembl